UGGGGAAUAUUGCACAAUGGGCGCAAGCCUGAUGCAGCCAUGCCGCGUGUGUGAAGAAGGCCUUCGGGUUGUAAAGCACUUUCAGCGAGGAGGAAGGUGGUGAGCUUAAUACGCUCAUCAAUUGACGUUACUCGCAGAAGAAGCACCGGCUAACUCCGUGCCAGCAGCCGCGGUAAUACGGAGGGUGCAAGCGUUAAUCGGAAUUACUGGGCGUAAAGCGCACGCAGGCGGUUUGUUAAGUCAGAUGUGAAAUCCCCGGGCUCAACCUGGGAACUGCAUUUGAAACUGGCAAGCUAGAGUCUCGUAGAGGGGGGUAGAAUUCCAGGUGUAGCGGUGAAAUGCGUAGAGAUCUGGAGGAAUACCGGUGGCGAAGGCGGCCCCCCUGGACGAAGACUGACGCUCAGGUGCGAAAGCGUGGGGCAGCAAACAGGAUUAGAUACCCUGGUAGUCCAGCGCUGUAAACGAUGUCGAUUUGGAGGUUGUGCCCUUGAGGCGUGGCUCCGGAGCUAA
RNAcentral lists this ribosomal RNA (510 nucleotides) under uncultured bacterium. RNAcentral's name for it is "partial 16S ribosomal RNA". It matches the Rfam family "Bacterial small subunit ribosomal RNA", at positions 355 to 855 of the family's 1533-position model. The record is from RNAcentral.